GGUGAUAUAGUAUAGUGGUUAGUACAAUUCGUUGUGGCUAUCUUCUGCUUAAUUCCGAAUAGACCCAGGUUCGAUUCCUGGUAUCGCCA
This 89-nucleotide transfer RNA is filed under the name Xylaria bambusicola. RNAcentral describes it as "tRNA-His". It matches the Rfam family "tRNA". Rfam says of the family: Transfer RNA (tRNA) molecules are approximately 80 nucleotides in length. Their secondary structure includes four short double-helical elements and three loops (D, anti-codon, and T loops). Lineage: Eukaryota; Fungi; Ascomycota; Sordariomycetes; Xylariales; Xylariaceae. The record is from RNAcentral.